Molecule: long non-coding RNA, 1527 nt
Organism: Lycium ferocissimum
Lineage: Eukaryota; Viridiplantae; Streptophyta; Magnoliopsida; Solanales; Solanaceae
Exons: 2
Source: RefSeq, a predicted model, not a curated record
AACGGAGCAUUGCAUUUUACACGGUUACACUUACGGUUUGCAUCUUAUGUACAGCAAAAUACUACUUGUUUCUCACUUCUUCUUUUGUCAAACAGACAUUUUAUCUUUUUCAAGUACACAUAGAAAUUACUUUCAUUUAUCUCAAUUUAUGUGGUACGUUUUGUUUUUAUCGAGAUUUAAUCUAUUACAACUUCUAGUAUUUUGUUAUGAAAUAUCAUGCAUAUUAUGGUGAAUGUUCAUAACUCCUAAGUAGUUAUUUCCAUUACUUUCUCCAUGGUGUAGUUAUUAAAUCUCCCACCUCCUAUCUUGAUUAUGUAAAUAUUAAUUCUCACACUUUCAUGAUCUUCCCCCAUAACCUUCAUAGUUAUUAUCUUGUUUAUUGCCACCUUUUGACUAUCCUCUAUGUAGUAGUAUAUAUAAGGAUAUAAUAAGUGAUGUACUUAUACUUGAACAUCUUUGGAUAAAUUGAACAUACUUGGACGAAUGAAAAAGCUCUCAUCUCUUGUUUCUCUUUAUCUCUUUGUUGUUCUUGCUUUCAUCUUUUAAUAUAUUGUACUAAUUCUUUUAGGUUGAUUUUACAACACGUUAUCAAUGCUCACUCUUUGUCAAGAACGAUGGUAGGUGCUUUUUAACUUUCAUAACUUGUUUAUACCCUUUUGGGCUGUGAUCAGUUUAGCAGUGAGCUUGAACCUUUGGUGUGGAUCUUAUUAAAUAAUAGUAUUAUUAUAAAGGGAGUAUGAGGUAUAUAUGUGAUCCCAAUUUAUUUUUACUUCAAUUUUGCUGGUAGGUUACAAUAGUUUAAACUUAAAUCAUAUAUUGAAUAAGCAUAAAUAUAAGCAUAAAGUAAUGGGAUUAUCUAGUAGUCGUCUUUGCAGUACUUUUCUAACAGUUUUUCCAACGAAAGAUAUGGUUUCAUUUAGUUCUAAAAGUUGCAAAAUGUUAUCAACAAUACUCAUUUAAUUGAUGUUGUAUAAUUAUUAUUGGAGUUACAUAUGUUGAUACGCAUUAACCGGUGGGAUGUUAGUUCUUGUGUAACCCUUCGUUUCCCCCAUUUGCAUCAUGGAUCAUUAAGUUGCUUAUGUUAUUUAUGCUAAUAAUAUUUGCUUGUUGUUAUUGUAGAUUGUUGGUUUAUUUCAAAAUGAUUUCAAAGAUUUGAAUCCUUAAUUAUAGAAGUUCAUUCUGUAAUUACAAGGGCAAAGAACUUGAAGGGCCACAUGGCUAUGUAAAGUGGUAAUAUUUUUAAGGCACCAAGUCGGUGAUCUUAUUGCUGUUCUGACCUAUUAUGCCAUUAAUUGAGGUUAAGACGUACGGUCACAUCAAGAUGAUAAGACAUCGAGUUUCAAUCCUGAUGCAUUAUGAUGAUAAAAUAAGAUGUUUGGUUCAAGUCCCAUCGAUUUAUGGCUAACACGUCUUUAUAUGGUUAGACGUUGGGUUUAAGUCCCGAUGUAAUAUAUUGAUGAUUUAAUGCUGACUAAGGCAAAAUGAACUUUUGAUGAAAAAUUAUGAAGCUCGUCCGACUUUGCUCCA